AGUGUUCAUUAAUAUCUUAGUAGAAACAUAGGAGAAGAUUGCAAGCUCUGCAAGCGACAUUAAAGGCAGGGCAUUGAAGAAUAACCGAAGGUUACAGUAGAUUUACAUGGCGGCAACAGUUAACCUACUACUGGGUGGUCAACCAUGGGAGAAGCUCUAUGGAAGGCAAAAACAAGGAUCCAAAAAAAGCCUUCCUUUCUCCAUGCAUGCAUACUCCUAGCAAGGAUUCAAUCUUACCAAGAAACUGAAAAGAGAGAUUCCUAGUACAGCGAUUCUAAUGCAUUUUAGAAAGCCAUUACCAAAAGAAUCUUGUUCUUGAUGAGCUUCCUCUCUUGUUCUGGCCUUUCUUGGAGGACUUCCCUUCUCCUCCUUUCUCCGUCUUGCCGGCUUUCUUGCCGGAGCUCAUCGAGAAUUUGGCACCUUCACUUUGGCCGGACCGGUUGAAGCAUCGGAGGCGAGGGAAUCGUCGUCGUCGCCAUCGCCGUCGUCUUCAUACUCCUUGCGGCUUCCCCGACCGCUGAUGUAGCCAUAGCCAUCAUCAACAUUGCUUCCUUC
This 555-nucleotide small RNA is filed under the name Oryza sativa Japonica Group (Japanese rice). Its description in RNAcentral is "sRNA Os08g0486750". Lineage: Eukaryota; Viridiplantae; Streptophyta; Magnoliopsida; Poales; Poaceae. The record is from RNAcentral.